Molecule: ribosomal RNA, 497 nt
Filed under: uncultured bacterium
Lineage: Bacteria
Description: partial 16S ribosomal RNA
Rfam family: Bacterial small subunit ribosomal RNA
Source: RNAcentral
GAUGAACGCUGGCGGCGUGCCUAAUACAUGCAAGUCGAGCGAACAGACGAGGAGCUUGCUCCUUUGACGUUAGCGGCGGACGGGUGAGUAACACGUGGAUAACCUACCUAUAAGACUGGGAUAACUUCGGGAAACCGGAGCUAAUACCGGACAACAUGUUGAACCGCAUGGUUCAACAGUGAAAGACGGUCUUGCUGUCACUUAUAGAUGGAUCCGCGCCGCAUUAGCUAGUUGGUAAGGUAACGGCUUACCAAGGCAACGAUGCGUAGCCGACCUGAGAGGGUGAUCGGCCACACUGGAACUGAGACACGGUCCAGACUCCUACGGGAGGCAGCAGUAGGGAAUCUUCCGCAAUGGGCGAAAGCCUGACGGAGCAACGCCGCGUGAGUGAAGAAGGUCUUCGGAUCGUAAAACUCUGUUAUUAGGGAAGAACAAAUGUGUAAGUAACUAUGCACGUCUUGACGGUACCUAAUCAGAAAGCCACGGCUAACUACGUG